AACGCUAGCUACAGGCUUAACACAUGCAAGUCGAGGGGCAGCAUUUCAGUUUGCUUGCAAACUGGAGAUGGCGACCGGCGCACGGGUGAGUAACACGUAUCCAACCUGCCGAUAACUCGGGGAUAGCCUUUCGAAAGAAAGAUUAAUACCCGAUGGUAUAAUCAGACCGCAUGGUCUUGUUAUUAAAGAGUUUCGGUUAUCGAUGGGGAUGCGUUCCAUUAGGCAGUUGGUGAGGUAACGGCUCACCAAACCUUCGAUGGAUAGGGGUUCUGAGAGGAAGGUCCCCCACAUUGGAACUGAGACACGGUCCAAACUCCUACGGGAGGCAGCAGUGAGGAAUAUUGGUCAAUGGGCGCAGGCCUGAACCAGCCAAGUAGCGUGAAGGAUGACUGCCCUAUGGGUUGUAAACUUCUUUUAUAUGGGAAUAAAGUUUUCCACGUGUGGAAUUUUGUAUGUACCAUAUGAAUAAGGAUCGGCUAACUCCGUGCCAGCAGCCGCGGUAAUACGGAGGAUCCGAGCGUUAUCCGGAUUUAUUGGGUUUAAAGGGAGCGUAGGUGGACAGUUAAGUCAGUUGUGAAAGUUUGCGGCUCAACCGUAAAAUUGCAGUUGAUACUAGCUGUCUUGAGUACAGUAGAGGUGGGCGGAAUUCGUGGUGUAGCGGUGAAAUGCUUAGAUAUCACGAAGAACUCCGAUUGCGAAGGCAGCUCACUGGACUGCAACUGACACUGAUGCUCGAAAGUGUGGGUAUCAAACAGGAUUAGAUACCCUGGUAGUCCACACAGUAAACGAUGAAUACUCGCUGUUUGCGAUAUACAGUAAGCGGCCAAGCGAAAGCAUUAAGUAUUCCACCUGGGGAGUACGCCGGCAACGGUGAAACUCAAAGGAAUUGACGGGGGCCCGCACAAGCGGAGGAACAUGUGGUUUAAUUCGAUGAUACGCGAGGAACCUUACCCGGGCUUAAAUUGCAUUUGAAUAUAUUGGAAACAGUAUAGCCGUAAGGCAAAUGUGAAGGUGCUGCAUGGUUGUCGUCAGCUCGUGCCGUGAGGUGUCGGCUUAAGUGCCAUAACGAGCGCAACCCUUAUCUUUAGUUACUAACAGGUCAUGCUGAGGACUCUAGAGAGACUGCCGUCGUAAGAUGUGAGGAAGGUGGGGAUGACGUCAAAUCAGCACGGCCCUUACGUCCGGGGCUACACACGUGUUACAAUGGGGGGUACAGAAGGCAGCUACCUGGUGACAGGAUGCUAAUCCCAAAAGCCUCUCUCAGUUCGGAUCGAAGUCUGCAACCCGACUUCGUGAAGCUGGAUUCGCUAGUAAUCGCGCAUCAGCCAUGGCGCGGUGAAUACGUUCCCGGGCCUUGUACACACCGCCCGUCAAGCCAUGAAAGCCGGGGGUACCUGAAGUACGUAACCGCAAGGAGCGUCCUAGGGUAAAACUGGUAAUUG
This 1442-nucleotide ribosomal RNA is filed under the name uncultured organism. RNAcentral's name for it is "SSU rRNA". It matches the Rfam family "Bacterial small subunit ribosomal RNA". The record is from RNAcentral.